UACAGAGGGUGCAAGCGUUAAUCGGAAUUACUGGGCGUAAAGGGCGCGUAGGUGGGAAUGUAAGUCAGAUGUGAAAGCCCCGGGCUUAACCUGGGAAUUGCAUUUGAAACUGUAUUUCUAGAGUGGAGUAGAGGGCAGUGGAAUUUCCGGUGUAGCGGUGAAAUGCGUAGAUAUCGGAAGGAACACCAGUGGCGAAGGCGGCUGCCUGGACUCUAACUGACACUGAGGCGCGAAAGCGUGGGGAGCGAACAGG
Molecule: ribosomal RNA, 253 nt
Filed under: uncultured bacterium
Lineage: Bacteria
Description: partial 16S ribosomal RNA
Rfam family: Bacterial small subunit ribosomal RNA
Source: RNAcentral